RNAcentral lists this transfer RNA (66 nucleotides) under Daphnia tibetana. Its description in RNAcentral is "tRNA-Trp". The record is from RNAcentral. Lineage: Eukaryota; Metazoa; Arthropoda; Branchiopoda; Diplostraca; Daphniidae.
AGAAUUUUAAGUUAAGCAAACUGAGAGCCUUCAAAGCUUUAAUUAAGAGUAUCGUCUUAAAUUCUA